GAUGAACGCUGGCGGCGUGCCUAAUACAUGCAAGUCGAGCGAACAGACGAGGAGCUUGCUCCUCUGACGUUAGCGGCGGACGGGUGAGUAACACGUGGAUAACCUACCUAUAAGACUGGGAUAACUUCGGGAAACCGGAGCUAAUACCGGAUAAUAUAUUGAACCGCAUGGUUCAAUAGUGAAAGACGGUUUUGCUGUCACUUAUAGAUGGAUCCGCGCCGCAUUAGCUAGUUGGUAAGGUAACGGCUUACCAAGGCAACGAUGCGUAGCCGACCUGAGAGGGUGAUCGGUCACACUGGAACUGAGACACGGUCCAGACUCCUACGGGAGGCAGCAGUAGGGAAUCUUCCGCAAUGGGCGAAAGCCUGACGGAGCAACGCCGCGUGAGUGAUGAAGGUCUUCGGAUCGUAAAACUCUGUUAGUAGGGAAGAACAAAUGUGUAAUUAACUAUGCACGUCUUGACGGUACCUAAUCAGAAAGCCACGGCUAACUACGUG
RNAcentral lists this ribosomal RNA (497 nucleotides) under uncultured bacterium. Its description in RNAcentral is "partial 16S ribosomal RNA". It matches the Rfam family "Bacterial small subunit ribosomal RNA", at positions 28 to 507 of the family's 1533-position model. The record is from RNAcentral.